UCGAGUGUCCCAAACUGCUUUAUGGAAUACAGAGAUCACUCCACCGAUCAGUGGAAGGAGUCAUGGUGAUAGCACUAACAGUGCUCUGCUCCAGAUCCACGCACAAGAUGAGGAAUAUUCCUCUCGCUGAAGCUACAAAGGUCGUUAAAGAGUCUGCAGUUGCCAAGCAACACCCAACAGCAUCAUCUGAAACAGCCUGGGUGAACUCAGAGCGUGCCGGCUGAGCUGGAGUCACCAAAGUGAGAACUCAGGCUCCAGGCAGCGAGGUGAAUUUUAUCACUGGGCCAGCAGAAUUUAAAAUCUUGAUUUCAGGUUUUCUGUAGGUGACACUCACAACAGAUGUGUUACACAGGACAGAAAGAACCCCAGAAGUUUUAUUUGUCCUAAGGAAUGAGUAGACCUCGAAACGUGGCCUUCUGCUUACAAGUUACAGGAAGAUGCCACCACAAACGACCUGAGAAGCAACUGUAGCCUGCUAUUGUGUAAAAGAUGCAGAUGGGGUUUUUGCAAUUUGCAGGAGUACUAACUAACAUAAAAAAGGAGUUUCACACAACAGAACACAGCCUGUGACUGAUCAGCACUGUUGGAAUGAGCCACUCAUGACAGUACAAAAUGGAGGUUUACUGGGAAAAAUGUAGAAACAGCUAAAACUACUGUGAUACCGAAAUGAAGUCAAACAAAGGAGAGUAGAACAGUAACAAGAACAACAACAACAAAAAAAUAAAAUUAAGAAUUGUUUUCAUGUUUUUAUUUCA
Cygnus olor (mute swan) is the source of this 755-nucleotide long non-coding RNA. RefSeq lists it as uncharacterized. The record is from RefSeq and is a predicted model, not a curated record. Lineage: Eukaryota; Metazoa; Chordata; Aves; Anseriformes; Anatidae. The transcript is spliced from 3 exons.